CCCCACUAGUCUGGGAUACCACUUGGAAACAGGUGCUAAUACCGGAUAAGAAAGCGGAUCGCAUGAUCAGCUUUUAAAAGGCGGCGUAAGCUGUCGCUAUGGGAUGGCCCCGCGGUGCAUUAGCUAGUUGGUAAGGUAAAGGCUUACCAAGGCGAUGAUGCAUAGCCGAGUUGAGAGACUGAUGGCCACAUUGGGACUGAGACACGGCCCAAACUCCUACGGGAGGCAGCAGGC
Molecule: ribosomal RNA, 234 nt
Filed under: uncultured Lactobacillus sp.
Lineage: Bacteria; Bacillati; Bacillota; Bacilli; Lactobacillales; Lactobacillaceae
Description: partial 16S ribosomal RNA
Rfam family: Bacterial small subunit ribosomal RNA
Source: RNAcentral